Molecule: ribosomal RNA, 542 nt
Filed under: Arthrobacter sp.
Lineage: Bacteria; Bacillati; Actinomycetota; Actinomycetes; Micrococcales; Micrococcaceae
Description: bacterial SSU rRNA
Rfam family: Bacterial small subunit ribosomal RNA
Source: RNAcentral
CUGCCCUUAACUCUGGGAUAAGCCUUGGAAACGAGGUCUAAUACUGGAUAUUGACAUUUCACCGCAUGGUGGUUUGUUGAAAGAUUUAUUGGUUUUGGAUGGACUCGCGGCCUAUCAGCUUGUUGGUGAGGUAAUGGCUCACCAAGGCGACGACGGGUAGCCGGCCUGAGAGGGUGACCGGCCACACUGGGACUGAGACACGGCCCAGACUCCUACGGGAGGCAGCAGUGGGGAAUAUUGCACAAUGGGCGAAAGCCUGAUGCAGCGACGCCGCGUGAGGGAUGACGGCCUUCGGGUUGUAAACCUCUUUCAGUAGGGAACAAGGCCAGCAUUUUUGUUGGUUGAGGGUACUUGCAGAAGAAGCGCCGGCUAACUACGUGCCAGCAGCCGCGGUAAUACGUAGGGCGCAAGCGUUAUCCGGAAUUAUUGGGCGUAAAGAGCUCGUAGGCGGUUUGUCGCGUCUGCCGUGAAAGUCCGGGGCUCAACCCCGGAUCUGCGGUGGGUACGGGCAGACUAGAGUGAUGUAGGGGAGACUGGAAUUC